UUUAAUUUAGUUAACUUUGGUUUGAUUGUGUUCUUAUCAACUUUUUAUGAUUUUUAAGGUUUUUGUUUCAGUUUUCUAUUAGAUUUAAUUUACAUAGUUUAUUUUUAAGAGAAAUUAUUAGCAAUAUUUUUUAAUUUUCUAUUUAUGAUAGUUAACUUUGAUCUGAUUGUGUUCUUCUAAACUUUAUGGGUUUUAAAAAGAUUUUUGUUUAGUUUUACAUUGGAUUUAGUUUACAUAAUGUUUUUUUUCAUAGUAACCAACAUGAUGAUUUCGUGACCAUGGGUUUAUGUUUUCAAACAUGAUUUCUCUUAAAAGAACUAAACUAGGGGAAUCCGAUUGAACGAAACCGAAACACAAAUCAAGCCGAAUACAAACAGAACCGAAACCGAUCCAAACCUAACUAAUUAUGGUUAAAUUCAGUUGGAAAUUUUUUUAGAACCAAAUUAACCAGACCAAACCGAACCUAAACCGAAUCGAUAUAAUAACCGAAGUGCCCACCCAUACAGAGGAGAAAGAAACAAAAA
Molecule: long non-coding RNA, 524 nt
Filed under: Brassica napus (rape)
Lineage: Eukaryota; Viridiplantae; Streptophyta; Magnoliopsida; Brassicales; Brassicaceae
Description: long non-coding RNA (BNAP_LNC007998)
Source: RNAcentral